Molecule: long non-coding RNA, 1193 nt
Filed under: Salmo salar (Atlantic salmon)
Lineage: Eukaryota; Metazoa; Chordata; Actinopteri; Salmoniformes; Salmonidae
Description: lncRNA (ENSSSAG00000116488.1)
Source: RNAcentral
AACCGUUUUUGCAAUACAACAUUCUCCAGAACUCUAAGGGAGGCAUGACAACGAUGUGAUUUUGGAGGAUGUCAUAAGUGCUGGUGGUGGCUGAUUCUUCAUUGAUUACCUACCUACCUACCUACCUACCUACCUACCUGUGAUGGCUGAUUGUCUGCAUUUAGAGGACAACUCAAGCGACACUGAGAACUGGGAAAGUAGUCUUCACAGACACUCAAGAGUCGUGGCUGAACGACAACAUGGAUAACAUACAGCUGGCUGGGUUUUCGGUGCAUCGGCAAGAUAGAACAGCUGUCUCCGGUAAGACAAAGGGUGGUGGUCUGUGUAUUUGUAAAUAUCUGCUGGUGCACAAAAUGUAAUAUUAUUAAGGAAGUCUCUAGGUUUUGCUCGCCUGAGGUAGAGUAUCUCAUGGUAAGCUGUAGACCACACUAUUUACCAAGAGAGUUUUCAUCUAUAUUUUUCGUAGCUGUCUAUUUACCACCGUAAACCGAUGCUGGCACUAAGACCGCACUCAAUGAGCUGUAUAAGGCCAUAAGCAAACAAGAAAAUGCUCAUCCAGAGGCAGUGCUCCUAGUGGCCGGGGACUUUAAUGCAGGGAAACUUAAAUACUUUUUACCUAAUUUCUACCAGCAUGUUUCAUGUGCAACCAGAGGGGAAAAAACUCUAGACCAUCUUUACUCCACACACAGAGAUGUGUACAAAGCUCUCCCUCGCCCUCCAUUUGGCAAAUAUGACCAUAAUUCCAUCCUCCUGAUUCCUGCAAAAACUAAAGCAGGAAGUACCAGUGACUUGCUCAAUACGGAAGUGAUCAGGUGAUGCAGAUGCGAAGCUACAGGACUGUUUUGCUAGCACAGACUGUAAUACGUUUCGGGAUUCUUCCGAUGGCAUUGAGGAGUACACCACAUCAGUCACUGGCUUCAUCAAUAAGUGCAUCGAUGACGUUGUCCCCACAGUGACCGUACGUACAUAACCCAAUCAGAAGCCAUGGAUUACAGGCAACAUCCGCACUGAGCUAAAGGGUAGAGCUGCCCUUUUCAAGGAGCCAGACUUUAACCCGGACGCUUAUAAGAAAUCCCGCUAUGUCCUCCGACGAACCAUCAAACAGGCAAGGCGUCAAUACAGGACUAAGAUUGAAUCAUACGACACCGGCUCUGACGCUCGUCGGAUGUAGCAGGGCUUGCAAACUAUUACGG